Molecule: long non-coding RNA, 32322 nt
Filed under: Setaria viridis
Lineage: Eukaryota; Viridiplantae; Streptophyta; Magnoliopsida; Poales; Poaceae
Description: long non-coding RNA (SVIR_LNC004269)
Source: RNAcentral
GGAUACGCUCUAGAAACAGCAGCUUUCACACUAAAUAGGGUACCAUCUAAAUCCGUAGUUAAGACACCAUAUGAGAUAUGGACUGGAAAGGUUCCUAGUCUGUCUUUUCUAAAGAUUUGGGGAUGUGAAGUGUUUGUCAAGCGACUUCAGUCGGACAAGAUCACACCCAAGUCGGAUAAGUGCAUUUUCGUGGGAUAUCCAAAGGAAACUUUGGGAUAUUAUUUCUACAACCGAUCAGAAGGCAAAGUGUUUGUCGCUCGGAACGGGGUUUUCCUAGAGAAAGAGUUUCUCAAAGGAGAAAAGAGUGGAAAGACAGUGCAUCUUGAAGAAGUUCAAGAUGAGCCAAUUGGGCAAGAAUCAAUGAGUGAUGCUAACGUAGCAGAACAAGUUGAGAUACCCAUGGCAAGAGAAGCACCGCCACAACCACGAAGGUCGGCAAGGCUCCGCGAAAUGCGGGAAAUAUUAUUGUUGGACAAUGAUGAGCCUGCGACAUAUGCAGAAGCAAUGAUGGACCCAGACUCCGAAAAAUGGCAGAGUGCCAUGCAAUUCGAAAUAGAGUCCAUGGGAGACAAUCAAGUUUGGAACUUGGUUGACCCGCCUGAUGGUGUUAAAGCCAUAGAGUGCAAGUGGAUCUAUAAGAAGAAAAAGGACAUGGAUGGAAAUGUUCACAUCUAUAAAGCACGACUUGUCGCAAAAGGUUUUCGACAAAUUCAAGGAGUUGACUACGACGAGACCUUCUCGCCCGUAGUGAUGCUUAAGUCCAUUCGGAUUAUUCUAGCUAUAGCUGCAUAUUUCGAUUAUGAGAUAUGGCAGUUGGAUGUCAAGACAGCUUUCCUGAAUGGAAACCUAGCUGAGGACGUGUAUAUGAUACAGCCCGAGGGUUUUGUCGAUCCGAAAAAUGCUGGAAAGGUAUGCAAGCUUCAGAGAUCCAUUUAUGGAUUGAAGCAAGCAUCUAGGAGUUGGAACAUUCGUUUUGAUGAAGUGGUCAAAGGGUUUGACUUCACCAAGAAUGAAGAAGAGUCUUGUGUUUACAAGAAGGUUAGUGGGAGCUCUGUAGUAUUUCUAAUCUUAUAUGUGGAUGACAUAUUACUGAUUGGAAAUAACAUUCCUAUGCUUGAGUCCGUAAAGACUUCACUGAAAAAUAGUUUUUCGAUGAAGGACUUAGGGGAAGCGGCAUAUAUUCUGGGCAUUAAGAUCUAUAGAGAUAGAUCGAGAAGGCUUAUAGGUUUGAGCCAAGAUACUUAUAUUGACAAAGUGUUGAAGCGGUUCAGCAUGGAAGAGGCAAAGAAAGGGUUCUUGCCUAUGUCACAUGGCAUACAUCUCAGCAAGACUCAGUGUCCUUCGACUGCUGAUGAGCGGGAUCGCAUGAGUAGAGUGCCAUAUGCCUCGGCUAUUGGAUCUAUCAUGUAUGCAAUGAUAAGUACUCGCCCAGAUGUUUCAUAUGCGCUAAGCAUGACAAGCAGACACCAAUCUGAUCCAGGUGAGAGUCACUGGACAGCGGUGAAAAACAUUCUUAAGUACUUGAGAAGGACUAAAGAUAUGUUCCUCGUCUAUGGAGGUCAGGAGGAGCUCGUUGUAACAGGUUACACCGAUGCUAGUUUCCAAACCGACAGAGAUGAUUCAAAGUCACAAUCAGGAUUUGUGUUCACGCUAAAUGGUGGUGCUGUUAGUUGGAAGAGUUCCAAGCAGGAGACGGUGGCCGAUUCUACGACAGAAGCCGAGUACAUCGCGGCUUCAGAAGCCGCGAAGGAAGGUGUUUGGAUAAGGAAUUUCCUCAUUGAGCGUGGACGCCAAACAAAGCCAUGUGUGGCGUGGAGGAGCCAAGUGUUUUAGUGGGGCAAGAUGUUAAGCAAAUGUGUGGCAGUAUGCAGCGAUUCAACCCAAUAAGAAGGGGACAUACUAGCCUGAAAUAGGAGGGAGCGAACAACAUUGUUGAUGCGCCGAAUCAUGCGCUUGACCCGGCCGUUCUGGGACGAGGUGUACGGGCAGGACAUGCGCAGGUGGACGCUGUGAGUGAGGAAGAAAGUGUAGGUACUAGAGUUUUCAAACUCGCGGCCAUUGUCGCACUGAACAGCUUUAACAGUGGCACCAAACUGAGUACACACAUAGGAGAAAAAGUUAGUCAAAGUCGCAAAUGUGUCGGAUUUUAGGCAUAAUGGAAAUGUCCACAAGUAACGAGAGCAGUCAUCAAGAAUGAGAAAAUAGUAUUUGUAUCCAGAGACACUAAGAAUAGGAGACGUCCACAAAUCACAGUGUAUGAGAUCAAAAUUGCUAGACUCUCGAGAUGAUGAUGACUGAAAAGGGAGACGAGUAUGAUGCCCUAACUAGCACGCAUGAUAAAUGGGGCUGACUUCUUUAUUUCAAAAAGGAACUAUUGAAGCGACUUUGGACAAAACUUCAUGACCAGGAUGACCAAGACGGCGAUGCCACUCCGAUAGGGUGGAGACGGCAGCGAGGGCAUGAGCAGUAGGAAGGCGCAAGGGGUACAGUGGCCCAGAGCUAUUGCACCUGACAAUCAGCCUCCGAGACUCCAGAUCCUUCACAAAAUAGCCAGCGGGAUCAAAUUUGAUAGAACAAUUGUUAUCAGAGGUGAACUGGCAAAUAGAAAUAAGAUUCUAAUAAGCUUAGGUGAAACUAGAACGUUAGUAAGAGAUAAAGGACUCGGAAGGUGUGAUGUGCCAGUAGCCAUGAUGGGAAGCAAGGAGCCAUCACCGACAACAAUGGAUGAAGGAAAAGGAUUGUUGGAGGUAUGCCCUAGAGGCAAUCAUAGAGAUGAUGAUAUUCCAUUUGUAUCCAUGAUUUGUAUAUUGUGUUCAUUGAAUAUCCAUUAAAGGCUACUUGAAUUGAUUUGCAAUUAUGUGAAUUGUAUGUGAAACUCUUUACUUGUAUGGUUAUUCUAAAGUUGUUUCUAGUCGGAGUUCAUGUGAGGACACACAUGAAUAUUAGACUAGCACAUGUAUUAGUUGAUGACUAUGUUUCACAAGUCAUGGACAUGGAGAUGUUGAACUAAUAAUGUGGACACAUGUGGAGACAUGUGUUAGGACUGACCCAACACGAGAAGUAGUUCUCUCUUUAAACAACAUAUACGCUUUGUCCUUAGACCUGAGAUUGUCGCAUGUAUUCUAGAUGUGGAUCGACCUACUUAGGGGCUAUCAAACGCUACGCCGUAACAGGGUAGUUAUAAAGGUAGUUUUCGGGUUUGUCAAGAAGCAUGCUAUGAGACAUGGUCAAUCAAGAUGGGAUUUGCCCCUCUCUGAUUGAGAGUGAUAUCUCUGGGCCCCUCGAGUGAUCGGAUCCGAAAAUGCAUGGCCAUGCUACGUACGGUUAAGAGUUAACCUACAAAGGGAUUCCGAAUCACAGGAUCGAGAAAGAGCGGUCGGCUUGAAGCUAGACCAAAUAUCGUGAGGCAAAGGGAAUAGCAUGUAUAUUAUGUUGUGAUGGUUCGUCUGAUAUGAUCUUCGUGUGCGUAUAGAAGUUGGCACGUCUUGCUAGAGGCCGCUACCGACUAUUGGGCCGAGUAGGAGUACUCGGGCCAUGUCUAUACGUAUCCGAACCCAUAGGGUCACACACUUAAGGGGCUGGAAGCCCAAUUCGGAUCUGAUCCGAGUUGGAUUAGGUUUAGGAGUACUAAUGGGCCUCGGAUCCAGAGGCCCAUCAGGAACCUCUAUAAAUAGAGGGGUGGGGGCGCCCUAGGGUUUACACCUUUUGGCUGAACACACUUGCCGCGCCUCCCACGCCCUCGCCUGUUGCAACUCGCGGAUCUAGCAAUCCUGCUUGCGACGCUUCCUCCCUGCACGUGUGGAUACCUUGGAGGUGUUGCGCCUGCAGCACUUGGACGAGCCGCCGACGAGCCGCCGACGAGCCACGACGAGCCGACGACGAGCCGCGGUACCGGAGGCGAUCUUGCUGUGCACGUGGACGAGCUGCUGAGGAGCUGCUGCACGUGAUCGACUACGUACGACUACGUGAUCGUCUUCACUGCACCGACGCAUAUCUACAUCUUCCGCACCAGUAGUGCGUCGAGUGGUAAUCCCGUGAUCCUUAUACGGCAGUUCUUCCUGGUUAUACGCGGUAGAAAAUUUUGAUUUGCGCUAGUGUAGCCUACCUUUUAUCCCAACAAGGAUACCACGGGUAAGACGAAUAUGAAAGAGUACCAGCAUCUGAAGUCAUGUGGGAGGUGGCACCUGAGUUGAGACACCAAUCGUUUGCCUGCGGCUGGUUGAGCGUCAUGGUGCUGAACGUCGAGGCGAGGGAUUGCUGAUCCCAUGAGCAAGGCAGACCCGUCAUGGGGUUGUGAAAACCCGGAGGGACCUAUGGCGCUUGCUGGCCCAUGAGCGACGCCUGGAGGCUGUGCUAUUGUGCCUGCUGCUGGGCGUACAGGGCCUGCUGCUGAGCGAGGAAGGCCUACUACUGUGCCAAAAGAGCCUGAUGGGGAGGCGCGGCGGGCCGGAGGGGAGCGUUGGGCUGCUGCCGCGGACCCGGGUACAUCUGGAUUGUACCUGUCCACGGGUUCCAAAAGGAGGGAUAGGGACCAUCGGCCUCCUGUGCCGCGCCUGGAGCAGGAGCCUGGGUGUUGGAGUUGUGGCCGACAAGGGCCUUGCUGCCAUCACCCUGGCGCGGCUGGCCACCGCGCUUGCCCCUCUUCUGCUUGGAGGACAUGCUGCUGGAGGACCCGGAGUUCCCUCCCUUGCCGCCCCCUUCACCACCCCCGAAGUUGUUGCUGGACCGACUAGGGGGCACGAGGAGGAGGGAAGUUCGAGGCCAAUGCCGGUGAGGAGCGCCGUAGAUGGAGUCGAAGAAGGGUUCGCCAUCAUGAGCUCCUCAAGGAGCAAGUCAUCGCGAACCUCCAGGAAGGUGCGGAGAGGGCGGUUGUGCCUAAUGUCGUGGCCAACGGCGGCGAACUUCUCGUUGAGCCUGCGGAUGAUGUUGAGGACAAGGGUGCGGUCAGAGACCUGCUCGCCAAGAUCAUCGAGGGUAUCCGUCCUGCCCUUGAAGCACAUGUAGUAAUCCGUGAUGGACAGAUCGUCCUGGACGAAGUUCCGAAACUGGGCAUCAAGGUAGAGGGCCCGUGUCUUCCGGUUGCCGAGAAACUGGGUCUCGAUGGCAAGCUAGGUGGCACGUGGCGCCGCGCUUGCCGCGCUCCAUGACGAUGUCGAUGAGGUCAUUGGCGAUGGUGCCGUAGAGCAAUGUACAAAAUUGCGGGCUAUGAUAGUUAGCGGAGGUGCUGAUAAAACGCUAAGAGCUGCUAUAGCGUGCUUUAGGGUCCGCUAAUCCAAUUAGCGGAUUAAUUAAGAAAAGGAAAAAAGUUAACAACUACAACAAAUACGAAGGCCCAAAUGAGAAAUAGAUGGCCCAAAAUCCUUCCCUGCCGACUGAGAUGCGCAAGCCCACGUGAACUUCCCCACGUCCACAUCCCCUUCCUCCUUACCUACCUGUCUUAUCCUAAUCCCAUGGCGCUUGCCGCUGGCAGCUCCCCUCCAUUCUGGCUGCCGCUGCUCCUUCCUCACUCCACAGCCUCGUACUCCCCGGUCGCUGCUCCCUCCCCAGCUCACGCUCUCCUACUACCGGCCUGCUGCUCCCUCCCCACCUCGCGUUCUCCUACUGCCAGCUUGUACCUGUACCAACACCCAAGGGACCUCCAAUGGUUUGAGACUUUUGAGCACUUGCUUGCUGUAGCAGACCAUCCCGAGGUUCUAUGAGCUAUGGCCAAACGAUGACGCACAGGGUUAGAGGUGGUGGCACGAGCAGAGCUGGCGGCUAGAGAGGACCUCAGGUGGCCGCAAGCAUGGUGGAGAGAUACCAGAUUCAGGCAUAGCGACGCUAAAUGACGUUAGUCGCUAAGUAGUUUAGCGUCGCUAAUUCCCGCUUUAGCUGCUAUGGCAGCAAUAGCGCUAUAAAGUGACUUAUCCUAGCGGCAUGGUCGCCCAACUGCUAUAGCGGCACGAAAGCGGCACUAUAGCCCGCUAUUCCGUACAUUGCCGUAGAGCCAAGAUCGGAUGACGCAGUCCAUGCGUCCCAAAUCUAGAGAGGCCAGAGCGGGCACGUCGCGAAGAACAUGGUCUUGCAGGGAGUACUUGCCGACGGUGAGGAGGAAUUUCUCACGCCACCAUGUGUAGUUGCCGGAGGUGAUGUCGAGGACGACGGGGAUGAGACUCUGGAUAUUCUGCACACGUGCAGAUUUAAGACGGCAACAGCUUCGUGCAGCAGCAUGGCCUGGUGGGUGUCGUUGGGCGCCUGAUCGGAGACGGCAGAGGCGUCGUCGACAACGUCCUCCUCCUUAGAGUCGGGCAGGGCGCCCUUGCGCUCCUCGGCGACGCGCACCAAGGCGUCGUGGAGGCGAGCAGCAACGACACCAUGCUCCUACGCAGCGGCGGCGGCCUCUUCCUCAGCCUUGAUGGCACGAGCGAGGGCGGCUGCGCGUGCCUCCUUGCGAGCCGCGCGCUCGUCGGCGGCGCGCUUGGCUGCCUCGGCCUCCGCGGCAUCGCGCUUGGCGUUGGCGGAGGUCUCAGCGGCGAUGGGCAGGGAGCCGGCCAUGGGAUGCAGCAACGUUGGAGGGCCGGUGCCGGGGGGUGGUGGUCGUAGCGCGAGGGACGCGCACGGUAGCAGCGCAGGCGGGGGGCGCGCUGGGCAGAGGCGCAUAAGAAACUACGUGCAAAGAGCUGCGUUGGUGGCGGUGCGCUAGGUUGUGGAACCAAGAACGGGAGGAACCGGACUCGUGAUACCAUGAGAGCAAUGAGGUUGUGUGGAAUAAUAGAUUGAUUAGGGUAUACAAGGUGUACAAAUAUAUAGGCAGCCUUGGGAGUGGUUUAUAGAAUCAUAACCGAUCAAGGGAUAACCUGCCUAUCCUAAUCCAUCUAGCCACGGCAGGGAGCCGGCCUGAGCCUUGGCGUGAUGCACACCAGGCCCACACAUGCACAUAGCACAUACAUAUGUAACAAAAGCAAUUUCAAUUUCAAAUUUGCAGUUAACCUUUUCCCCAGUAGCAAAUGUGAAAAAACUAAAGCAAACUAAUGACAAUAAGCAAACCAUCUGUAUCUAUGUAUACUUAGUAUCCAGGCUACUAAGUUAUGUGUUUGUGCACAUCUAUGAAGUAUGAACCACGAGUUCGAGUUCCCCUGGUUGCAUACAUUUUUAAUUACAUGCUAAAUGUUACCUAAAAGUUAAGCUCCAAUUUAAUCUCGAGAAUAUUAUAAAUCUUUAGUACAGCAGGCAAAAUAAGUCUGCUAAGAGGAAAACACAAGAUAAUUUACAAGAUAUGUGGGGGCAUCCAAAUUAUAAAUUAUAUGGUUUAAUUUGUCGUUUAAAUCUGUGCACCAGAUGUGCAUUAUAUCUUAAUGGGAUUUAUCAUAAUAUAAACGUAUUUAUUUUUAGUGGAGGGAGGAAACAGAUUCUGUAACAUAAAAACCGCACAAGGUAAUUGAGAUUUGCUUCUAUAUGGCAUUUAAAAUAUUAUUUAAUGUGUCAUUGACUCCAGAAUUAUAUUCUCUUAUACGAUCACCUGGAUUUGUACUGAAUAUAGAAUUUCAUAAUUAUUCAUUAUAUUAUAAUCCUUCAUACAGCAUUACUAAGUCACACCAUUUUCCAGUAUAAAUAUGGCUUCAUUCCACAUCUUCCACAGUACUGCACAAGAAAAACUUGCAACCAUGUCGUACAAUCUUGAAUGGGUCUGCCAGCCCAACAAUCCGUCGCACCCCAAGUGCCGUAAGACAUUGUUUUCACAUUUCGUUUAGUACUCGUACGCUUUUCUGUUCUAUUUUGAUAUACAUCACAGUGCCAAAUUGAAACUGUUACAUGUAUUAAUAUAUAUCCUCCGAAACAUGUGCAUCUGUAGGUGGGAAUAAGUUUUCCUGGCCUGAACUGGUGGGGAAGAAGGGCGCGGAAGCAAAAGCUGUGAUUCUGAAGGAGAAUCCUUAUAUCAGUUCUGUGGUUUAUGCUCCGCAAGAUGCCAUUGUAACUGAUAACUACUGCUGCAAUCGUGUUAGGCUCCUCAUGAAUUGUGAUGCUGGCUGCGACUAUGAAAAUGCUACAGUGUUCCAAGUCCCAAUAGUUGGGUGAUGAGCAAGUUACUUUGUUGGGGAUUGCAAAUGCAUAUGGAUGUAGCUGUGGGCGGUAUUUGCUAAGAGAAUAAGCUGUUGUCCCGACGGGCAAAAGCAUCAUCUAAAUAAAGCAUUCUCCAUUCUGCAAUUUUUAUGUCACUACUGCUGGUUUCACCUAUACCUUUUUAAUUACAACAUUUCUAUUCUAUACCUAAUAAGAGGUUUACCAAAAAUCUGGGAGCUACAAAAGGAGCUGAAGAGUUGGGUCAACAAUUAGAUGUUGUUAUUAUUUAGGAUGACAAAUGAGAUUGAAGCUAGCUAAGGUGCCAUCCAUUUCUGGCUUUUUCCCUAACCAAGGGCCACGGCGGCCAUAUCAUUUUCUUGGUCUCUUAUGGGAUGUUGUUGUAUAGGUUCUGGUUUUUUUUUUGAAAAAAAAUGCACUAUGAGGAAGAGGAACACCCCACUGUUUCUGUCAAGAACAGAUCAGAAUAUAAAUGUAAAUUAACUGGAAUAGUAUUAUACAAAAUCCUGGAUUGGUGGUUUCUGUGACUCUUUGUCUUGCAUAAACUUAAAAAAAUGACUAAUGUAUAGUAAUGAUAACUAUAAGUUUGAUUUGGUACAAUUAAUUAUAAAAUCAAAUAUGUGGUUACCUUUUUUCCAAUCGGAAAUGUAGAAACAAAAAGGAAACAAUGGAAAAUAUGCAAAAUGCCUUAUUUCAGUAUGCUUAUCUAUCCAAGCAAUUAAAUGUGCACACUAUUUCUUAAGAAAAAUUGAACAUAUAUGUACUGUGUAUAAAGAGUUUGAAUUAUGUUUUCUUUUAUUUUCUUUAUUCAUGCAUAUGAUUAAAUUUUGUGCCAAAUAAUUCUAAAUCUGUAGCAUACAAAUUGAUAUUGAGAAAAAUACAUAUAAAUUAUACUAAAAUGAGACAAGAGAAGAUAGUUGUUUUACAUACUAAAAUGUUAUCCAAUGAAAUCAUGCAUUAUUUUGAUCCACUCUCUGGAUAUCUCAAUGGAUUCAGUCUAUUUGUCUUGAAUAUUUUAUUUCUUUCCUUAAUUCAUAUAAAUUUGCAUAUGCUUCUAAUUAUGUGCUAAGUAUUGAAAAAACCACUGAUGUGGAAGUUAAUGCUGAUAAAAGAGCACAUUUUUUAUUUUAGAAAAAGGCUAAACAUUAACAUGUAAAAUAUAAUUAUUUUGAAUUUACAUGGCAUUCAAUUUUUAAUUAAUAAUGUAAUGUAUCAUUACACCUGUAUUAAUGGGAUUCAUUUUAUUUGUCGUGGAUCUUAUUUGCUUAAUUAGUUCGUUUGAAUCCUUUGUAGAAGGACCACUCUCACAAAUUUAAUUAUCACAAAAUUUUCAUGUUUCAUUUAAUAUUUAUGAAAAUUUUCAUUUCAUUUUGAUAUUAGAGUGCCAAAUUAAAUUUGUAGCAUUUUUUUUAAAACACCAAAACUGGUAAGAUGUCAUGGCCUGAGUUUUUGGGAAAGAAGGGCAAGGAAGCAAAAGCUGUGAUUCAGAAAGAGAAUCCUUAUAUUACUGCUGCGAUUUACACUCCUUAAGAUGCCAUUGUGGCAUUGUUACUGAUGAGUACUGCUGCAUUGCUGCAAUCACAUUGGGAUCUUUGUGAAUUGCAAGAGCUGCGACUAUAAAAAUGCUGCAGAGGUCCAUGUCCCUUAUUGGAGACUGCGUAUGCAUGAUCAUAUUUGUGACAAAAUAAAUUCUUGCCCAUGUCAUGCGAAAAGAUCACAUUAAUAAAGCAUUCUCCAUUUUCCUUCGCACUACUAGUGGUUUACCACCAAAAGAGCUCACCAAAAGUUGGGAAUAAUACAAAAGAACUGAAGAAUUCUGUUGGCAACUAGUAAAUGUUGCAUAUAUUUUUUUCUUGAGGAAUCUACUACUUACAUAUUAAUAAGAAUGUAUAGGAAAAAGAGGAGUACCUAAACUAGUAAAUAUUGUUGUUUAGAUAGAGAAAUGAGGUCACACACUUAGCUGACGCGUCGUCUAUUUCUAGCUACCCCGCCCUUGUGCCGAGAGCCAAAACGAGUUAUUCCUUGUGGACUGAAACUGGAUCAUGCUACUCUUGCUCCUUUGGGGGAUGCAAUUGUAGAUAUAGUGCUUAUGGACUUCUGUAAAAUUCCCUGUGAGGAACCCCUCUCUAUUUUCCAUAAAAAACGAAUUAAAAUCAAUUGAUUAAAUGUGCUUGACGAAUUAUAAACACUUGAAUAAAUGUACUUGUAGCACCGUGCCAUGCUUGACGAUGCAUUUUUGGUUCCCCCUCGUGAGCUCGUUUGCCUGCCAGUCUCGAGAAAGACAAAUGGUGACUCACUCCCAAUCUGCCGUAAGUUUAUGUUUUUUUCUGUUUUCAAUUUUCAACACUCGCCCUGUUUGGAAGGAGGGGCUAAAAUUUAGCCCUGAGCUAAAAUUUAGCCCCCUCAAAUAGAGUGCUAAACUUUAGCACUGUGAGGUGUUUAGGUAGGGGCUAAACUUUAGCACUUUGAUUGCCAAAAGACUUUUUUACCCUCAUCUAUCUCCUCUCCUCUACCCCUCCACAACUCCUUCCUUGUCAACUCCAAUUGAGCAAGCACGGCAGCCACAUCCUCCUCUCAUGCCCUCUCCUCCGCCUCCUGGAGCUGCGCAUGGAGCGCCGCGGCCGGGGCUCCGUGGGGUCCGUGAGCCACGCUAGCGGAUGAGCCGCGGGGUUGACCGCGGAGGGGAGCCCGCAACGCCGGCGCGGAGGGGACGUCGUGGCGGGAGGCUUGCGGGGCAGAGGCAGUAGCUCGUCGGAGCGGAGGCGGUGGCGGGGCCGGUCGGGCUCGGAUCCGGCCGCGGCGGUGGUGCCCCUCACGGGGAGAGAGAGUGAGGGGAGAAGGCGGCAGGACCGGCGGGCGAGGCGGAGGCAGCGGGGUGCCGUGCGGCGAGAUCUGGCGGGGAGGAAUGAGAGGGAGGAGAGAGGGGCAAGGGGAGGAAUUUUGGAUAAGGGCACCCUUUAGUCCAUUUUAGCACCCCUUGGAGGGGCUAAUGGAUUGGGGGGCGGGCUAAAGUUUAGCCCUCCUGUUUGGCACGGAGAGGCUAAAAUCUAGCUAAAAUGGGGGGCUAAAGUUUAGCCUGCUAAAAUCUAGCUAAAAUGGGGGGCUAAAGUUUAGCCUGCUAAAAUCUAGCUAAAAUGGGGGCUAAAGUUUAGCCCCCCUCCCAAACACCCUUUUCCUGUACUACUCUACUGGAGAAUAUAUAGCUCCUAAAAUUUCUAAAAUGUUUAAAUACUAAUUAGGAGUAUUAAAUAUAGAUUAAUUAUAAAAUCAAUUGCACAGAUGGAGACUGAUUAGCGAGACGAAUCUAUUAAGCCUAAUUAGUCAAUGAUUUGUAAUGUGAUGCUACAGUAAACAUGUGAUAAUAAUGGAUUAAUUAGGCUUAAUAGAUUCGUCUCACGAAUUAGCCUCCAUCUAUGUAAUUAGUUAAUUAACUCAUAUUCAGUCCUCUUAAUUAGCAUCCGAAUAUUCAAUGGGACAUGAAAUUUAGGUUGGACUAAAGUCCAAACACCCGUAUAAAUGAUUCUGCAGACUGCGGGUCUGAAGAAUCCAUUCAGUUUUGGACAGUGCUAUAUGUGUUAAAGAUCAAACACCCCUAUAAUGUAUAAAUGAUUCUGUAGACUGCGGGUCCGAAGAAUCCAUUCAGUUUUGGACAGUGCUACAUGUGUUACGAGAAAUCAUCCUGAGAAUCGUAGAACAAUCCUGCUCCUCUAUCAAACGUAGAACAAGAUACAGCAUAACAGCACCGUCGAAUUAUUAUAUCUUAAUUAUUAUUUCCCAGCUUCUCUCUGGCUCUCUGGUUCCUCAUACAUGAACUUUUUUUUGAAACGACUCAUACAUGAACUCAACUACAGAUUAGUAUAGCCCCUCUGCUCGAUUCGGCAGAUCGAUCCCGACGGCAAACCGGACGCGUCAGUUGCCGCCGACGCCGAGGAGCGCGUCGACCUUGUCCUUGAGGUGCGCCUCCUCGUCCCCGAGCCGGGCGGCGGCGCCGCCGUUCUCCCACCGGAUCAGCGUCGGGACGCCCUUGAUCCCGAACUUGGGGUCCUCCCUCCAGGGGUGCGCCGGGUCGCGCCACGUGGGCUUGUCCCCGACGUAGGCGCGCAGGAGCACCGCGUCCCUGCCCUGCAGGGCCUCCAGCCGCUCGUAGAUCACCGGCUCCGCCACGUUGCAGUCUGCGCGGCGGCCGGCGAACGGCGGUGAGUAACGUAGGCAACGAGGCUACUGCUAGGGGAGAGGAAUUUUACAGGUGAGGGGGUUCCUCUUACCGGGGCACCAGGUGAGGGAGGAGCCGGGCUCGCGGUCCGCCAGGAAGAGCAGCAGCUUCAGCUUGCCGUCGGAGGCCGCGGCGGGGGAGGCGAUGAGGCGGUCGAAGUGGGCGCUGAAGUCGGCCAGCGUCGCGUCUACCUUCAGCACCGUCAUCUCGCCGCGCCGCCUUUUCGGCUUGUCGAGCAGAUUUGGAGCAGCAAGAGCGAGUUGGGGAGGCACGGCAGGCAGAUUAGGAGAAGGAAGAAGACGGCCGCCGAAUUUUAUCUCCUCCGUUGCCUACGGGAGCGCGUGCCCGUGAUUCCUCUCCCGGUCUUUUCUCACGCUGCCGGGUGGGCCCCUCUCCUCCCUCCGCGUGUCUCGUACGCGAGCCGGAUUCGUGGGUGAUUUGGGCCAGCCCGAUGGGCUGAAGCAGCCAAGAGCUACGCGAGCCCAACCCGUACAGCACAAGUUUCCCGUGCGCACUGCGCCCCCCGAGUCCACCACGGAGUCCAUCCAUCAUCUCGUCGUUCGCUCUCGUCGUGGUCUCGCCGGCUCCGGUGAUCUGCCCGCCGUGCCGCCCCGCGGCCGCCGCGAUGCACGACCCGUCGGAGAUCCGCAACCUCCCCAUCGACAUCGCCUUCGCCCGCCUCCAGGAGUGGCUCGUCGACCGCAAGCGGGUGCCGCAGGACUGGCGGAAGCGCCUCGCCGGCAUCCGCGCCAGGAUCGCCGCGGCCUUCCCGUCCCUUCCCCGGGACCUACACCCCUCGCUCCUCGGCCUCGAGCCCGAAGGUAACCGAAUUUACUCUGCCUGACCGGCGGCGGCCGUCAGCGUAGCGAUUCGGCGGAUUCGAUUCAUCGCGCUUUUAAACCCUCGCCCAAUCCCCACAGCUACGCUAGCUCAGCUUGAUUCGCGAGUUUCUCUUUGUGUGGGAUGUAAUUGUUUGCCUGUCCUUCCUUUUCCUUGUUUAGAAAUUGGGUAUCUUGAAGCGAAGAAGAUAUACAGCAUCCUGCUGGACUCCAACACGGAGAGCCGCAACAUAUUUGGCCGCCUGACGGGAUCCGCGGUAAGCAUUUGCUUGUUUUAUCUUAUGUUAGUUACAUGAGGCAAUUAUACUUUCAUGUGCGGCCGGAAAAUGGCAUAUGCUUUGAUACAAUUUCUAUGUAUAGGGUGAAUGGGAAUCCGUCGUGAAAGCUUAUGAGAAGGACCAUGUCUUCCUCGGAGAGGCGGCACAGAUCAUGGUUCAGAAUGUGAACUAUGACAUGUACGGUCUAUCUUUUUCCUUGUUCUUUGUUUGGCUACUAGUAAUGCCUGAUUCCACCUUGGCCACAGCUAAAUUUUUUACUUGCUCCUUUUUCUGCCCCAAGUCCAUAUCAGAGAAAGCAGAUGCAGAAGACUCAGCAGCAGCUUGCUGAGCUCGAUCGAAAGGAAGCGGACAUUAAGCGGCUCGCAGCUUUGUCAGCUACUAGAUAUGUGGAGGCUUGCCAAGAGCUUGGUUUGCAGGUCAGUUUCUCUUUCUGACUAGCACUGGGUGGGCUAUGCCUUUCUGAUAAGUUGCUCACUAAAUCAUACUGUCAUCCGCAGGGAGUAAAUGUCCGGGAAGAACUAAUAGAGUCUGCAAAGACACUUCCAUCUACAUUUAGCAAAAUCUUGGAAGUGCUGAACAGUGACCCUGUCUCAAAGGCCAUGGAGCACUACACAGCUUUUGUUAGAGACUGCCAUUCUGAGGACAAGGUAGACUCAGGACUAUGUAGAACAUAUCAGUUAUUCAAUACAAAAAAAAAAUUGCUGCUAGAAACUUUGUGAUUAAUGUUAACCAUUUUCUUCUGAACCUCAGGGAAGUUGUGACUCUGUGCUGCUGCGCAAUCUGAAAAGCCUGCAGGAAAAUCCUCCUCCUCUCCAUGUCUCAGUAUAUACUGAGGUCAAAAGUUCUAUUGGAGAGGCAUUGAAAUCUCAUCGGUCUAUAGAGCAGAUUGACUCAAAUAUUCCUGCGGAGGAUAUUGAUUGGGAGAUUUCUGUGGAUGCUAAUGAAAUUGACUGGGAUAUUGGUGCUGUUGAACAACCAGUUGAAGAAGCUGGUAAUGGUUUUGGAUCAUAUGAAAUCAUUGAUGCUAAUAUAGAGCUGGCAGGUUCUGAAAAUUAUGACGUUAGUGCCUCGGACAAUCCAUCUUUGAACAAAGAGGGUCUUGCAUCAUCUGAGUCUGGGAUUUGCUGGGACAUCACUGCUGAUAAUUCUGAAGAAAGUGUGCAUGAUAAUGCCAAUAUUCAGAAUGCUCCAAUGGUCGCUGAAGAUAGAAGUCGUUUGCUGGAGAAGGAAUACAGGAAUGAUAUUCUAGAUGAUUUACUUGAGGUGUGUUUUGACCAUUGUUUGGACCCGUCUUGUUUUGAAGUUUUUUCUUGGCUGUAAUGAAUACUGAUGUAGUAUUAUAGUGCUGUUGUCUUUUAGAAAUUCAGUAGAUGACAAGUGUUCUUGGUGUAUGAGCUUGUUUUUCCCAUGCAUCCCCUUUAGCAUAGUGCUGUAGCUCAUUAAUUCUUAAUAACUGAAACAGGUAAAAUCAUUUUUGACUCAACGCCUAGGGGAGAUGAGGAAUGGUGAGACAUCAUCUCUACAGCAUCAAGUGCAAGCUGUCUCACCUUUUGUUCUCCAGCAGUAUGCUCCUGAUAGUUUGGAGAAUAUGCUUGUAGAGGUCUCUUCAGCAAUCUCAUUGCUCACUAACCAGAAGACUCUUGACCUUAUAAUGAUCCUAAACUCUAAAAGGUAAAAGAUUAUGUAGCUUCACACUCGCUUAUGUCUUUCGUUACUUCUAGUCUACUACAGUGGUGAUUUCUUGGUGUAUUUUUAAAGACUUGCAUGGUACAGCUGUUUUUCCACCGUAAGUGCAUGAUGUUUUACAUUUUCUUUAACUGAAUUUUCGUUUCUUUCCUCUUCACAAGGUUUCUAGACAGACUAGUUUCUACUUUAGAAGAGAAGAAGCAUCAUGAGGUAAAAUUACGGGAAGGUUUAGGUGAUUUAUCUGUUAAGCGCAUGGAGCUGCAGAAUGCACUGUCAUCAUCAUGGCCGAAGCAAGUAAGUGGUUUCUUUCCUUGGAUUAAUUAACUAGAGCACAAUGCUUGUUCGGUGCUUGCUGAGACACACUGUAAAAAUGUUGUUUAUCUGAUGGACAAGACACUGUUCAUUUGCUGGUGGAUGAUGGAAAAGACCACUUCUGAAUUUUCACAUUGUUUGUUGUUCCAUUUGGCCAAAUAUCUUUCCAAUGUGCCCCCAGUAAUCGCUGACCAAGUACCGUGUCCAGAAACCAGUUUCACUUUUUCCACAUACUUUUAUUCUGAGCAUAUUAAAAAAAUCAUGAAGUAGCACAUAAUAUUUGAUCUAGGUAAAAUCUGUGACCUAAAUUUAAAAGGAAACAACAUUGUAGUGUUGUAAAAAUAUGUAUUCUUAUAUUUCAUAUUUGCUCAUGAUAGGCUGUGCAAAUCAGUAUUGUCUGUCCAUUUUGUGCUAAAAAUGAACCAAAACACUAAUAGAUCUCCUUGUGCUUUACAUAGCCAACAAGUGUAUGUUAAUUUGCUUAAGGUGGAGCCUGCUAGUUAUCUGCCUUUCUAUAUAUUUUACAGGAGGCCGCAAUUACAAAAACAAGAGAACUAAAGAAGCUGUGCGAGGCAACGCUAUCAUCUGUUUUUGAUGGCAGGCCGGUGCAUAUAAUUGGAGAGAUCAAUACUUUACUGAGUUCAAGUGUUAGUCAAUUAGCUGGGUGACUGUAUUUUCUGUUCUGGAUCAAAUAAGAUUGAGAUCUUAAGGUUAUUAGCUGAUGGUAUAUACUCCAGAAAUUUAGAUUUCCUGCUCAUGUUGCUUGCUGCUCGAUAUUUUCUGAAAAUGCAUAUGUAUGAGUUUGACUUAAAUUAUCAGAUUCAUCAUAGGAUACAAUUGAGCGGUGAAGAAAAUAAUGUACGGUUACCGAAGGUUUCAUUUCUCAACGAACAAUGUUUCAAUCAAUGUUUUAUAAAAGUUCACUGCACCUUGGUUAUCUUGUGCUUCUUUUUUUUUAUACAGGGCCAGUUGGAAAGCAGAACUGGCCAAUUUUACUAUUACUAAACACCCUGUCCUAUCUGUUUCUAUAAAACGUCCAGUUACAAGGCUUAACUUGAUGAUUUUUGCAGCCUUAAGUUUAAUAAUUCGAAUUGUUGCUGUUCCUCAGUGAUAUGUAUCUGUUAUGUGCAACAUAUAAUAUGGCUUAUGAUGCAAAAGGAGAUUAUGUGAUCAAGAUGAGUAUUCUUUUUAAGUUUCGACUCUCAGAAUAGCAUAGUGGACUGCAGAGGAUCACAAUAUAUCCAUUGUUUUAGUAUUACUGUAGAAAUAGUUGCAUGCUCAGUGAAACUGCAAUCCAAUCACCUAUGUCAUCUUGACUUAACGAGAACUACUUAUACAGCUGGAAGCUGGAUAGACAACAAAAUGUGGAUGUUACACUGAUGAUGUUGCUCCAUAGAAAAACAUUAGACAUGCACGAUACAAAAUUUAUUUAUGAAGGAAAUGCUGGAACCAUUUGCUGGAAUGCUUUGGAUAUCUUUUCAAACCAUCCUUGUAGUCGAUGUAAUUAAUACCAAAUCUCACAGUAUAACCAUCCAUCCACUCAAAAUUGUCAAAUAGCGACCAUGCAAAAUAUCCUCGUACAUCAACUCCUUCCCUGCCAUGUCAUAAUAGUACUUUUAAUGUUGGUACAUAUACUUAAAUUGUAUCGUAAGUUAAAUUCAGUGAUCAGCAACUGAUCUAUGCAUCUACUAGUAAUCAUGCACCAAACUUACUUGAGGGCUCUUUGAAUGUGGAAUAGGUGUUGCCGGUAGAAUUCUAUUCUGGUAUUGUCAACUAAGGCUUCUUGAAGUGGUAGGUUUUCAUUGUUAAUUUCAUCAACACCUGCAUCAUGAUUAAACUUAUCAGUUAAUAGCUCUGGUUUCCUGGAAGCUGUCAUAAAAUGCAGUUAGGCUGUUGUACCAUUUUCUGUGAUGUAGAUUGUAGGAUUGUUGUAUGUCUUCUUGGUGUAUAGCAGGAGUUCUUCUAUGCCUUUUGGAUAGAUAUAGAGCCAAGGAGAUCCAGCCUGGAUACAAAUGUUUUGUUGUUUUCAUUCCAAAGCAUCAGUUUCUAGUUUUCUAUGUUAAAUGACUUGGUUUUCUAUAAAACGACCCUUUAUCAUCGACCCAGUUACACAACUAUAAAACAUGAUGCAUGAUAAUUUUUCUGUUUGAGAAAUGCAUACCUUUGGACCAAUAGCUGUCCCAUGUCUUUCAACUGUUGUUAAAGUAUAGGUAGAGAAAGCUCUUAGCUCACCCAAGUUAUUUAAGUCUGGAACGGAAACAAUGUCUUACUUGAUUACCUGUUUGAUUGGUCAGUGAAUCAGUAUUAUAGCUUUUGUUUCCAUUGUUACUGUAUUUGGUGUUCUGAGUGUAUCUUGCUGUAUAGUAGUUGAGGCCGAUGAAGUCGAAUGAUCCAUUUAUGGCCUUUGACUGUUCUUUCGUGAAUCUUGGUAAUCUGUUACCAACUAGUGUUCUCAUGCUGGGUGGGUAAUCUCCCUUUGUUAAAGGAUCCAUGAACCUGUUCAAAUUAUCACUGAAUUAUGUAAAUAGGUUUUAUGAGAAUCUUUGAGAUUUUGAUUUUAUGGAAACUUCAAGAAUGAAACCUGAAGUCUAUUUAGUACAGAAUUUAAUGAAGAAAAACUCACCAGCCAUACAUAAAUUCCAAUGCACGCUUGGCAGCGUCCUUGUCUUGCUUGGAAUUUGAGUAUGGAACCAUCCAAUUACUGACUAGAGUAAUUCCUAUUUUUCCUUUUUGCUUUACCUGCAUGAUUAUUGAUUAACGAUUAUCAUUGUAAGCGUAAACUACCAAGCUGGCUAAGUAUAUGAAAAUGAUUAAUUGAGUUUUAGUGUUUUCAGUGGCUAACUAUCUAAACAAGUUGAUUGAACCUCAGAAAUUCUCGUCUCUUGUCUGAGAAACCUUUGAUGUGCUAGCUUCGUUGUCCAUCAUUAAGUAGAACUCUAGAUUAAGGAGAUGCCUGGCACGACCAUCUCUAGUUUGUAGCAGCAGAUUGUGGCUUUAUGGCUCUCUAUAGUAUCUGCUGUCAUGUUCUGCUCUUGAAGACCAUUUAAGUGUGUAAAGGUCUUCAAUCAGAAUUAUAUGAUUCGUUACAAUACAAACACAUAUUCUUGGCAUGCCAGAAUGCAGUUUGUAAGAUAUUUGAUUUGUUUUUUGCUGAAGUAAUCACAAUUAGGAAACCUAAUCUGUACCUGGUAUUUGUCUCUGUACACCUGAACCGCUGCUGCAUGAGCAAGAAGCUGGUUAUGAGAUACGGUAUAAGGUUCCCUUCCAGAGUCUCCCAUGCUACAUCCUGAAUUUUCCCAAGAGGAGCAUCUGCCUGGUGCUAAUAUACCACUGGCAUAGCCAGCAAUACUGAAACUCCAAGGCUCAUUGAAUGUUAUCCAGUUCUUGACCCUGUCUCCAAACUCCCUAAAGCAGAUGUUGGCGUAGUCACGGAAGUCUUCCCUGGUAAUGAUAACUCAACAUAUUACAUGAUUAGUUUUCUUUGAUUUUAAUAGCACUCUUAUUAUUGAUCAUAGCAGAGAGUUUAGGCUAAUUCAACAUAUUAAGGCUUGAUUCUUAGUUUUCCUUUGAUUUCAAUAGCAUUCUUAUUAUUGAUCAUAGCAGACAGUUUAGGCUAACUCAAUAUAUUAAGGCAUGAUCCUAGUUUUCCUUUGAUUUCAAUAGCAUUCUUAUUAUUGAUCAUAGCAGACAGUUUAGGUUCCGGUGAGGACAAGUUACAGGAUCUGAUUGGUUGAGUUUACUUACACAAUGUGCUGGCUCAAGAAGCCACCAUACUGCUGUUCUAAUGCUUGUGGGGAAUCCCAAUGAAAAAGGGUCACAAAUGGUUCAACCCCUGCAUGUUGUUUAGACAUUAAGAUGCAAAAAGAUAUAAGACCUUUAACUAUUUAUAUUACGAGUAUUUUACCUUCUGAAAUUAGCUUGUUAAUGAGGUUGUUGUAGUAUUUUAUUCCUUCCAUGUUGACCCCUCCACUCAGUUUUCCAUCUGCAUCCAUGCCAUCAUCCAUCAUUGCAUCAACUAGAGGCUGGGAUCAAUCUAUGUUUUUAUUUAAUCUACAGAUCUCCUCUCUGUUAGAACUACGUUAGCGUUUGCUGCAUAUCAAAGUAAAAGUUUUCAAAUGUUUACAAUAGCAACAAUUCUAAGUGGUUGGCUGGGAUUUGUUCAAAGGCAGUUAUGUGCCUGCGGCUCAUCUGGGCUUUAUUUAAUCUCAAGAGCAGGAUUCUUUUUCCAUUUGUUGAGAAUAUGAACCUUGCGUGCAUGGGAAUAGGCUAGAUUCAUCACUUACUAGGCAGUAUUCUUGUCCAAGAAAUAGAAAACCUAUAGGCAUUAAAGCCUAUAUCUUUCAUGAUUUUGACAUCCUCCUGCAUUCAGUGAACGGCAUCUGAUAAAUGCUGGGAAAAUGAAAACUGAUGGGCAGAUAGGAUGGUCUUUAUUCCAUAAUACCUGAUAUCGAUGGUAGGAAUUGAUUGCUAUGUCUCCGUUGCUUCCAUCUGCUAUCUUCUCUGUUGACAAACUUUUGGGGCUUAGAACAUCGUAGCAUUCACUGGGCCGUAGUAGAUGUGAACAAACUGCUCUGUUCUCCGUUUAGGAUUUUUUGGUAGUUAGACGAAGCAUUGUUUUAGGAAUCAUUUCUUUCCUGCAUAGUUAACUGCCUCAUGUGCUGCAGUGAACUGAGUCUGGGCUCCUGACUUCUGAACAGAUAUCCAUGGAUUGGAUUAACUUUUGACCUUAAAAUAGACAGUUUUCCUAUGUGUUUGUUGUUGUUUGACAUAGACCAAUUGAAAGUGGUCAUUAAACUACUAGCUAUUGCAUUGUUUCAUUUGUCAGAUCCCCAUCAUUUUGUUUGCAACUUUUUGUUUCUAUGUGCUUUUGUCGUAGACCGGUGGACUGGUGGUCCUCACAGGCUCUGAUCUGUUUUUUUUCUAGGCUUAAUCAUAUGCCCUUCGCUUGAUUUAGCGCACACACAAUAUGGCAGGAAAGCACUUAAAACUCAUUACUAUUUAUGGAAACAGGCUGAUCAUGCUAUCAAGUUGGGUUACUUUAUAUAAUCUUCAGUUGAUUUUCAACAGAUUGUCUUCGCUUGUUUGUUCGGAAAUUGAGGGACAAGGUAUGUUCUUUUUUUCCCUUUACUUGGGUUUUAGGUGAUGAGCCUCAGUUUUUUAUGGUAUCUGUGGUUCAGCCUGUGAUUUAGUUGAGAGCCGGGAAGAUGGGAUGAAAAAAAGAAACUGUUGUGGAGGGUGUUAUUUAUCAGGCAUAUCAUUUGCAUGCUCUUCCUCCAAUGCACAGAUUCUAGUUUGAUACUACUAUUUUUCGGAUGACACUCCAACUGGAAGCAGUUAAAGUCAAGAUGUAGCUUAGUCCUGUCUCAGACUGGUAUGACCAUUUGCUCCCUAAAGUGAGACCCUGUUCAACAGGUUAUGCAUAGGCCAAAUGAUAGAUUGAUGAACACAUUUUCUUGAGAGUUGAGACGUUAACGAGAGUUUAAGGCAAAGAGGCAGGUAGAAUGCAUGAGCAGAGUUUUGGAACGUGCAGCAAAUGACCUGGGUGAGUGUGAGUGUAGGUGUCCCAGAUGCUUGGCCCUCUCCCGCCCUCCUUCACAGCUCCUUCAUACUGCACCAAGCAUCCAAGCUCUCGCAUGAAGAGCAAACCACCCACCACUUCUUCCAGUAGUCUUUAGAUGGUUCGAGAACUACUUACCUGGUAGGCCGAUGACGCUGUGCCGAAGAGGAAGCCCUUGGGGAACUGGCUCCUCGAGAUUUUUUCUGGGUUUGCGGUUGACCCUGCAAAGAAGAAUGGCAAGAGCAAGAGCAGAAGGGUUAGCCGUGGCAUGGAUGCCUUAGCUUUGCAGUGUAACUCUUGCUCUGUGUUCAUGUGUUCACCAGCCUGGGCACUCUAUUUAUAGGCUGGCUGGGUCUUGGGCGGCAGUUUGGUAGCAGAAAACCCCCGGAAAUCCACAUGCCUAGCUGUUUCAAGUCGUGCCAGUGAUACCACUGGGCGACCAGCGAAGACCUUGUCUUGUUGAUGCAUAAUUUAUGAGUGACCCUUGUCUUUCCGAGGCCAUUAGACAAAUGGCGCACAGCUGGCCUACUGUUUAGUGGUUCAGCUGUACUUCCAGGUGCUCGUCUGAUUGUGUGUUUAAGAGGCAAAAGUGUACUUUCAAGUAAGCCCAAAGAUGCACACAUACUACUCGAAGGGGAAAACUAUUGUUUGGGCUGUAAUCUAUCCUUGGAAUGCAUUGAUCAUAGAAAAUGCAAAGAUUUCCUGUGUUAGAAAAGGGUAAUAAGUACAGGACCCAUAGCCUUAUGGGGGUGAGGAAAGAAUCCAGCUUUGCCUUUUCGGAUGCUUUGACGCCUUUGUUUAACCUCCAAAAAUAGGCCAUGCAAGAGGUCAAGUGGGUUGUAUAUAAAAAAACAAGAAAAAUUUGUGUGGCAAAGCUUGGAGGAGAAUAAGGGGGGCCCAAUCUAAAAUAAAGUUUUGCCCCCUUAGAUAGCUAGAUUGGUAUUAGUGAGUAUUUAGUUACAAAAUCACUCAUUUCUUUAAUGAAUAUUCUAGGAAAAGAGGGUGCCCCUGGUGCACUUGAAACGAUAUUAUAAUGCUAAACAGUGCCUUGGGGGAAGCCUAGUCUCUUCUAUUCACGAAUUAGUGUGGACAGGGGUCGCUUUAGUUUAUAAUGCGAGGGCUUUGUAAUUGCUCAGCUUUAUUAUACCAGUUCAAUUAGGUCGUGGACUAAGUACUUUGCAAACAAAAUAGUACUAGCAUCAAGGCCUUGUUUCACCCUUGUUUCUAGGGUCCAGCCAAAGAAGCGUAGCUUCAGAACCAAACAAAAAGCAAGUCCAACAGUCUCCAAGGUUUAUGCACCAAUACAUUUGUUGCUUGAAGCUGUAUCUUUCUGUAGCAUUUACAGUGGUGGCACAUGGCAAAAAGGAUUCAUUUUUUUGUUCAUAUUCUAUAAUUUUCUUUUAGAUUUCGAAAGACAAAAGGAGCAUUUAAUUGAAAAUCUCCAGAGGUCAGAGCAAUAAACAUCUCAAUUCUCAACACAAAAUAGUCCUCAGUCUACCUAUUUGCAGUGAUAGUGACAUGAUGCCUCACAAACAACAUGCCCAAGCAUUAGAAUCCGCGAUGAGGGGGGCAGAAAGUGCGUGCCUCCAAUUGCAUCGCCAUCCACCAUGAUCUCCUUAUAAUCAUAAUAUACUCAAACCUAUCCAAACACCAGAACAGGUCAACGGAGCACGAAGCAUCCACUCUUCUGUUUUUUCCCCUAGACUAGGGCUACGGCACUAUGGCUUGCCGGGGUAGUGAGUCCAUCGCCAAGAAUACCACCGGCCAAGUUCCACGGUCCGGGUGGAUUCAGGGCCAUCGUACUUGCCAAAUCCGGCACGGUGCACUGCAUUCUGGACAAGUGGAACUUGAAAUGACAUUGCAAAGUUUUGUCUCCACUGGCCAAGUUCUAGAUUAUGGUCGAAACUUUAUGAAUUUUGAUGUGACUCAUGUGGUUACAAACAUUCAGACAUGUGCAAGAAUGGAGAGACACAAUCGGAGUGUUUGGUUUUUGGAACGGAUGAGUCGUAGAUCUGUCCGGUACCAUCCUAUGUUUGGAUGGGACAACACCACUCUUAUCUUACAUCAAGUACAUUUGCUUUCGAUGAGACAUUAUUGGUAAGUAUUAUGUUCCUGAUGAAUCCGAUGGUUUUGGACCAAUGUGUUCUACGCUUAAACCAAAUAAGCAGUCUAGGAUAGGAUGGUUUGUUGCGUCACAUUCCUCAAACAAUCAAAGAGUUAAGUGGAAAACACUAUCAUGGUGUCUGAGCCCUUCUUUCAUUGUUAUUGCACGACAAUGAUACCACUGAGUAGUGGUGGUGAAUUAGGUUGGUUGUGGGCUUGUAGCUAGCUAGCUUCACUGUUGAUUCAUUCAGAAGGGAGCCAAGUAUUUGUGCUAUUAUACUGCACACAACAGCCACAAAAUAAUUGUAAUGCCACAUUCUUUGACAACAUCAUCACUUCAGAAUCAUUAGCUCUCAAGAUGAUACGGAUUGCUAAUUCACCAACACCUGAAGCCUGAGGGCUCCAUUAACGUAGUGCUGGACUACUGGCUCACAGUAACAGCUGCUAGGAGAUUACAUCUAAGCCAGCAUCUGAAAUUCAGUCCUACAGUUACAUGAUUUUUCACUCUUUAACAGCUACAAGCCAGAAUGGAUGCCAAACAAACAAAAUUCAUAUAAUCCAAGAUCUGCAUGCUUCAGCUUUGAGCAGAACAAACAUUCCAGUCUUGGCAUAGGUGGGCAGGCCAAGUCAAAACUCAUGAUAUCCUGAUUUGGUAAGAACUAGGAACUCAUGAUACAUCCAAACAAUCAUAACUGUGAUAAAAUGGCAAUGAAAAGGCCCAUUGGCAGAAUGAAAGUUGCGAGGAAUUGUGCUAGCACAGUUUGUUGAUGUGAAGCAAAACAUGGUGCUUACCAAUCAGUUCACUAUUCAACCUGUCCAUAAGAGAAGAAAACAUGCAUAACACAGUAGCAUAUAGCAACUAGAUGUGGAGCUCCAGUAGUUCAUACAUUUUCUUCGACAUAAGCAAAACUUCUGAUGACUUUGCAAUCAGUAUAUGUUUACACUCAUGUAGGACCUAGCAAACACCAAGAUGACACAAAAUUGAAGAUUACUACUAAAAAAUAUGAAGGUGGCAAAAUUGAAGAGCAGCUGCCUAAUUGAUACCCAAGAAUUCCAUUCCAAUUCAACUAUAGCCCCGCCUCAGCUGCCCGCCGUGGCGUGCUCUUCCGACGGCUCCCUGACUGCCGGAACCCAUUGGACCUGGUGGACUCAUCAUUGCUAGAUCGAGUGCUCGAGCUGUUCUCCUCCAUGUCAAGAUUUGAACCAUCUUCUUCUUCCUUGGGCACCCUGUUCCUCUUGUUGCUACCAACUCCUGCAGAAGCAUGCUCUGUUCUUGAACCCUUAAGUUUGGCACCAUCCCCUGCUCCCACCACAUAGUCCUCAUCGCCAUCAUCGGCCUCCAACUUUUUCACCUCCGCUUCAAUGAUCUUCUCAGCGGCGACACGCUUCUGGGGCCGCCCCCUCCUCUUCCUUGCUGGCACGACGACCUCCUCACCGCUGCUCCCCUUGUCCUCAUGGUUCCUGCCAUUGCUGAGCUGCUUCCUCCCUCUGCCUCUCCCCCUACCCAUUGAUUCAAUUCAGCAGAGGUUGCAGAUGUGUGUACCAGGCAACAGCUGAAGCUACAAGCUUUGAAGAAGAUAUCUAGAUGCGGCCUAUUCUUUUUAUCUUGUUGCUUCCUUUUUGGAACAAAAUAUCUCACUGGUAAGAACCUUUGCUCUAGGACAGUGCAGCCAAUACAAUCUAAAAAUCUGCACGAGAAAUAUCGAUGAACCUACUGUAAAACCCAACUAGAAAAGGAUUGAAUAUUCAAGAAUGGAUGAUAGAUUAAUCACAGAGCUGUACUUAGAUCCAUAUCAAUAAGCUCAAGAAACAAAUAUCCGAAAUAAAUCUCUAACCUCAGAUGGGAAUGCAUCAAUACAAUCCAGAAAUGUUAAGAACAGAUUAGAGCGGAACCACUCAAGUGGUUUAAUAAGCAAUAGAGGAGAUAGAAAGAAGCUGACCUUGCAUCAAAUUAGUAUGCCUCGAAGAAACAUCCUGCUGCAAAACCCAUUUCCCAAGCUCCAGCGGUCAAAAGAUGGGAUUUUUUUUGCUAGCACCGAAGGGGAAAAGGUGCCUGAGAUAGAUUGGCACUGAUCUUGGAUUGAGAUUGAGACACCGGGAGACCCACCACAGAUCAAGAAGCAGAAGCCAUAGACAAAGGUUGGUGCUGUUUGGGGAAAGCAGGAAGAUUCUUGAACCAGCAGGCGGGUGGUACUAGGCUACCAGUGGUGCUGUUGGUAACUGGGGUAUGGAGGGAGACUAUGGAGCCUUGGUGCUUGAGCUCUAACAGUAGCCGUGAGCUCCCCUGCGGGACAGCAGCCGCAGGACACUGUACACACCACGCGAUGAGAGAGAAGGAGAGGCCUGCGCUUGCUUGCUGGAGUUGCUUUUUUGUGGAGCUGUCACUCGGUUGCUCAGUUUUGCGCUUUGUUUACCAACCGUUGAAAACGAGUGAGCUGCACUCCACUCCCCCACUGGGGGCUGCUGCAGUAGCCCCUGACAGAUGCCGAUUUAUAUAUAUAUAUUAUAUAUAAUUACGGUGGCCUCGACUUUAAUUACUAGUGCCCGCGUAGUGACAAGGUCACUUGUAAUCUUUUUCUCGUGCUCUCGGGGACAUCGAAAGGUGAGAGAAGGGGCAGCAAGGAUCCCAAGACUGACAGCCAGGGAACAACGAAACCAGGGGCUAGUAAUGACACCUGCUGCUGCCAAGAUCCAUCAGCAUGUUUCAUAGGCCGCAAAGGCUGGUUGUUUCAACUCUUUGUCAUUAUUCUUUUUUUUUUCGAGGAAAACACUUGGUUAAUAGGUCUAUACAAAUUCCAAUUUCAAACUCUCUAUUGAAUGUGUUCGUUUGUUUGUUGAUGGGCGUGUUCCUGAAUCAAAAUAAGUGCUUUCAGAUGUUCUUACAUGUGUUGUCGAAGCUGAUCCAAUCGCCAUAAUGUUAUUGUUUAAGGUCUCUAAACUUGAUUUGAACAUUUUCCAUAGUAACAGCAAAAUCAGAGGAUGUUCUAUAGAAAUAGCACGUCUAUAUUAGUCAAUUACUGCACUUAUAAAAAGUUAUACUUCUGGAAUAGAUGGCAUCGAUAUGCAGCUUUGGUCAUUACUCUUUCCGUUUCAAAUUGUAGGUCGUUUUAGCUUUUUUAGGUUCAUAGAUAUUAUUAUGCAUCUAGAUAUUAUUAUGCAUCUAGACAUGUAUCUAGUGCGUAAUAAUAUCUAUGAACUUAGAAAAGCAAAAACGACCUACAAUUAGGAACGGAGGGAUUAGCUUUUUUUUAAGACAUAAUGAUCUGAAAGUUAUUACAACGAAAAAUCUGGCAACAGAUUAUGUCGCUAAUACUGCACAUCAAUGGAAAAAUUGUAGUACUAUGAAACUUUCAUAUACAACAAAAUAAAUGUAUGAAUUAAAUUUACAAUUAAGCCUUAGUGUGUUAGAAAGAAAAGAAUAACCUUGGACAUUGACAUAGUUUUCGAAGCACAACAUUGACUAAAGAUUUAGUGUAUUUCAAUACAUUGUUGGCAGUACAUUAUCGACUGUACAUAUAUGUAAAAACUCAAUGUAGAAGGCAAUUCGUUACUACAUUCCUUCUUGAUAUUUGUUUGGUUCACAUGCACAUACGGCAUCAUAUAGUGAGAAUUGUAUGGAAUUUACACACAUUCGAUAGAUCAAUAGUACAUCAAUUUAAUAUGUGCAUGGAUAAUAUAAUAACUUAUUACUACUUUAGUUCGCAAUUGUGUUUCCUUAGAGCAACUCCAAUAGCAUGACUAUUUUUAUCUCUCCAUUUGACUCUCUAGCCACUUAUCAAAAGGAUUUCUCUCCAUAAUGAGGGAUCGUUUGGGAGGGUUUCUUCCAAAACAACUUUACUGAUGAAGCCAAAGUCGAUGAAGCCAAAAAAGCUGGCUUCACCAGCCCCCGCUUACAAAAUAGCUUGAAGCUAUAGUACCUCGAUUUGCGUAAAACAAGUGAAGUCGAAACCAAAAUAAGCCAUGUCAAACAUGGGCUAAAUUGUACAAACAGAGAAUCCAUUUCCUACUUUCUAAAUUCUAACCCUAAAAAUUUACACUUUCUACAUUCUCCAUCUACUCCAACAACCUCUCCAUUUUGCGCUACAACAGACUCUCCAUUUUGCCAUUAUUUUGCGUAGGAUCCACAUUUGAUAAGCCAAAUUCGCUUGCCAAUUUGGAGAGCGUGAGGGAGCAUUUGGCAAGCUGGAAUGGUUGGUCAUCCGGUUAGCAACUUUGUUGGAUCUAGUAGACUUACUAAAUUUUAACUUUGGGGACGGAGAUGGCCAUGUUGGAAUUGCUCGUAGAUAUUCGGACCAAAACAUAUAGUCAAACGUAGGUAAAAUCAAAGUUUAAUUAGCCUAAGUCCUAAGAUACUUUUUCCCAGAGUUAUGUAAUUAGCUUGACUAUAUGCUUACCGAAGUUACAAUCCUUAAUUUCUGACUCGCGGAUAGUAAACAAUGUACUCGUGAGGGAAACUUUUGGAAAGACCGGUUUUGCACGUGGUCCUGCACAAUCCCCAGACCACAAUUUUAUGACAGAGUGAGCGCAUUCAUAGCAAGAGUAAAGGCUCCCGCAUUAUUGUGAAAAAUUUAAAUCAUAUCAGCAAGGACAGAGUUGACAAGUUCCAGUGUCCUCCAUUAUUUUAGAUUUGGAUGUUUCAUCUUAGUCUGCAUUGUUUUUUUUUUCUCAUUUUGUUUUCUUGAAAUUCUGGUGACUCCGAGAUGGAGUGGGCCUGGUAGCUUUAACUACCACCGAAGAUGAGUUUUUCAAAGUUGGCGUGAGGAGACGGCAUAUGAUAGAAAGAACAUGGCCGGUUUGGGCCCAUGUACGGGGCGAGCCCAGCGCAUCUGUGAGCUUGCUUAAAUGUGUGGCGAAGACGAGCACGGCCCUGUCCCAAAAUACACAGAGCCAAAGCUGCUCAUUGCAGUUGCAGAUUGUCAUAUUGGUGGUGCUUAAGCUUAACGAUCGUAUUCCUAUUCGAAGGACCUACAUCCAAUGAGGCCCAAACUGCAAUCGAACCACCAAAACCCGUAGAAGGAUGGAUGCACAGUGGUUGCAGAUUUGCAAUACAACUAAACAAUUUGCAACCUCUGUUCCUGCUGGCGGACAAAUGGCACAACGCCAUGUAACACACUGUGCUUCCGCACCGUGUACCUUUGGAGAGAGGUAUCCACCAUUCCACCUCACCAGUUUGACCUCAGUAAUGCACCCAAGCGUGCAAGUUCCCUGAUCAGGAACUCUUGGUUAAGACUCAAGGAGAAAAAUAUCCUGCUUGAACACAUUUUUCUGUCAGAAAAAGGGCUCCCAAACCUUAUAAACACAAGUUGUUUUACCCCCACGUGCUUAAGUUCAUCCAAAGUAAUAUAAUGUUGACCCAAACAAAUAUUGUGUCAACACCCAACCUUGGGAAUAGCGUUGCUCCUUUACUAAUUUAGGGCCUUAUUUUUUCGUAUAACAUGUUUGCCAGAUGCCUACGAUAAUUUUUCCCUCAACCUCUUUUUUUUUUACAUGCAUAGCAUGUUUUUCUUCUUAGAAGAGAAUACACGAUGUAACUUCAGGAGAAAUCUAAAAUGCAGAGUUACAAGAGCCACGAUCAACAAUAAACAACAUAAACACCACAACAGAGAAGAAAACCACCUCACCAUCACCACACUAAAUACAACCUAAGACGACUGAUGCAUGCAAGAGAGAAAGAUACCAUGAACACACACACAUUAUCGCUUGCCUAACAACCCAGAGUCAUCGGAAGAAGAGUGAGGAGGUCAUGCAAGACGAUGCCUUCAAGAAGAAAGCAACGCCAACGCCAGCAUCGUCCGUCUGUCCACGGAUGAGCAGACCAAGUCUUUACUUGGCAAAACCAAAUGGAUUUGACGGUCGCAACAACGCCCCCAGGGAGGUGAGCUACGUUGAAAAGCGCAACUGUUGUCAGCACCGACAAAUGCCAGGCAAGGCUUUUGCUAAAGGCCCUAGAACCAACUCCACACAACCGACCGCCAAGGCCUAGAUGAGAGCCAAAGCGAUGGGAUGGCACCGAGCUAUCCACAACGACGAUGAUAAGGAACAUCCGCAGGCACAGUAGAGAGGGACCGCUAUCACGACGACCAAAAAACGACCAAGGAGCGACCAAGCGACCGAAGGGGGAACAGGCGGGCAUGCUAGAGGGGCUCACGCCAGCGAGAAGAAGCGAUCUGACCUUGGUGUGUUGGGGUAUGGGUGUGGUGGGGGUGAGGAGGGGAGGAGCGCGACCAGGGGAGGAGAAGGGGGAGGUGCGCGCGAGCCCCGUAGUAGCACGCGGCCGCUGCAUACUCCACUGCCACUAGCGAGGGCUGCUUCACCCACGCACGCCCGAAGCAGACGCCGCCGACGCCACAAGCUGCCACGCCCCUGCACGCGAUCGCAGCAGCCCGCCGCAGCCCGCCGCCACCAUCACCUGAUCGAUCUUCGGAGAUUCCUUUUCGCUCACCGUCGCCUGCGGAUCCGGUGGUGGUAGUCGUAGAUCCGGCCACCACGGGGUGGCUGUGGGGCUGCCAAAGCUAGCCUCAGGUGAGGUACCCGCUGCAGCCACCAGGGAUGAAGAUGGGAGGAUCAGGGAGGAAGGAACGAAAUGCAGGUGCACCCAUGAACGAAGGUGCGACGAGCCAAGCUCUAGCACCUUCUGCGACCGGUUGACGCCGGAGGCAGGGGAGGCAACGGCAGCGCGUAGGGGCAAUGACCUAGGCUAGUGAGACCAGGCUAGGCGCCGGCGCAGCCGAGCCGCGCCGCAGCCUGCUAGUGUCGGGGCGAAGGUGGUGGUGCCGGGUGUGGAGGUGGGGGCGGACCGACCCGCGGUGGCGGCGGGGGCGAUGGCGACACGAGCACCCUGGCGGCCUCGAGGUGAUGGCCAGGCGAAGCACAGGUGGAUCCGAAGCAGGGGAGGUCGGAUCCGGCGUGUGGUGGCCGGAGACCACCCUCACCAGCGACGAGCAACAACCCCAUGACCAUGGUGACCUUGAAGGGGAGAGGAGGAGGAAAGGAAGGAAGGGAGGGAGAGGGCGUGCGGGGCUUACUUCGAUCCCGCCACGGGCCGCCGUCCGCCGGCCCGCCGGUGGUGGCGGCCACCGACGCUAGGGUUUGGGGGUGGCGGCGAGCGCCCCCGAGUCGCCAAGGAAGGCGAAAAUUCUCUCAACUUCACUGGGGUUAGUUGAUUGAGGUAAUAUAAAAUUCCGCCACAACUUUUUAAUAAAAUUUUGUUAAAAAUCAUUACAAUAUGGAAGAAGGAGAUGGUCAAUCCAAUGACGUCAUUUUCACCUAAACAACUCAAAACAGUUGUUUCUUAAUGGUCAAAACUAGAUACAUAUGAACCGCAGAACCGGUAAAUAAUAAAUAAAUGUUUAUGAUUUCAAGAACUUCAGUUCCAGUUAAGGUGUUUUCAAUUUUGGCUAUCAAGGAUAUGGUUCCUCAUCAUAGUUGCUGUCAAAUGUACGAGACCUAGCGUGUGCUGUCCUUGUAAUAAUUUCUUUAUUUCUUAGGGAUAGCAAUAUAUGAGUGUAAUUCUUCGCCAUUUCUAAUACGAUUCUAGACCUAUUUGCUAAAGAAAUACAACGACUAGAGCAAAAUUUACAACCAGGGGAGAAAUAGAAUAUCUGCCCCCCCCCCCCCCCCCCCCCCCCCUUCACCUUUUGGAUUGGUGGAUAAAAAGUUUCAUCGAGUUCUGUAGAUAUUCCACUCACUCAACCAGCAAAGCCACACAUGUGGACUGCAGCUCACGGCCCUGAGCCCAUUGCAAGCAUGAUGCCUCACCUCUUCCGGGAGGGGGGCCAUGCCACGUCGGCCGGCCAAAGAUACCCCGAUCCUACGUGGCCCAAUGACGCUCGGGCGCACAGAUAUUGCGCCCAAUGGCGGGCGGCAUUUGGAUAUCCCCAUCCCGCUCCGUCUCCUCUCCGGCCGCUCGUGCUCGUGCUCGUGCUCUUAAUAGCAGCCGCAGAUUCUGCUCCGCUCUCAAACGCCACUUGUCCUCCCUCCCUCCUCUCGUCUCCCCGUCACCUCAGGAUCAGCAAGCGGCAAUGGUGAUGGCGUCGUCGAGCGGGCUCCGGAGCUGCAGCGCCGUGGGCGUGCCCAGCCUGCUGGCGCCGUCGUCCCGCUCCGGCCGGCUGCCGUUCUGCGCCAACGCCACCACCUCCGGCCGCGUCACCAUGUCCGCCGAGUGGAUGCCCGGCCAGCCCCGCCCCGCCCACCUCGACGGCUCCUCUCCUGGGUAAUACUCACGGCCAAUCACCACGACGACGCCGGCGUCGAGGCUGAUGAACUGACGAGUGAUGACUGACGAUGCUUGUGUCUGUUUUCCAGGGACUUCGGCUUCGACCCCCUGGGCCUCGCCACCGUUCCGGAGAACUUCGAGCGGUUCAAGGAGUCCGAGGUCUACCACUGCCGCUGGGCCAUGCUCGCCGUGGUACGCCGCUGUGCUGCCUCUCUGAUUACUUACGAUCAUGUCAUGAACUAUGGCAUGGACCUGACAGAUGAGCUUUGCAAUUGUGUGGCAUGCAGCCCGGGAUCUUGGUGCCUGAGGCGCUGGGCCUUGGCAACUGGGUGAAGGCGCAGGAGUGGGCGGCCGUCCCCGGCGGGCAGGCCACAUACCUGGGCAACCCGGUGCCGUGGGGCACGCUGCCCACCAUCCUGGUGAUCGAAUUCGUGGCCAUCGCCUUCGCCGAGCACCAGCGCACCAUGGAGAAGGACCCCGAGAAGAAGAAGUACCCCGGCGGCGCCUUCGACCCGCUCGGCUUCUCCAAGGACCCCGUCAAGUUCGAGGAGUACAAGCUCAAGGAGAUCAAGAACGGUGAGUCUCCUGGUUUUGUGUACUAUAUGAUCUCGUUGUUGUAGUGACAGCCUCCCACUCCAUUGAUCAUACGCUAACCACUGGGCAUCGUCUAAACGAUUGUGCAUGAUGAUGAGCAGGCCGGCUUGCGAUGUUGGCGUUCGUGGGGUUCUGCGUGCAGCAGUCGGCGUACCCCGGCACCGGGCCGCUGGAGAACCUGGCUACCCACCUCGCCGACCCGUGGCACAACAACAUCGGCGACAUCAUCAUCCCCAGAACGAUCUACCCUUGAGCUGAGAUGAUUGUGAGAGAAGAGGAUGAGACGAGACAGGAGAUGGGGCUGUGCUGGGAGUGUGGAUGAUGUUCUAUGUGUGUGAUUGGUUGGUUACUGGGCACUGCCUGCGUGCGUGCAGGAACUGUACAACGAACAACGACGGCGACUUUCCGGCCGGCCGGGAACCCCUUAUAAUGUAAAGCUUAUUAUUAUUAAGUAGCGGCUACCCUUA